This 508-nucleotide ribosomal RNA is filed under the name uncultured bacterium. RNAcentral describes it as "bacterial SSU rRNA". It matches the Rfam family "Bacterial small subunit ribosomal RNA", at positions 36 to 518 of the family's 1533-position model. The record is from RNAcentral.
CUGGCGGCGUGCCUAAUACAUGCAAGUCGAACGGUCUUUCUAUGGAAGCUUGCUCCACUGAAAAGAUAGUGGCGAACGGGUGAGUAACACGUGGGUAACCUGCCCAUAAGAGGGGGAUAACAUCCGGAAACGGGUGCUAAUACCGCAUAGUUUUCUUGAUCGCAUGAUCGGGAAAGGAAAGACGGCCUUUGUGCUGUCGCUUAUGGAUGGACCCGCGGCGUAUUAGUUAGUUGGUGAGGUAACGGCUCACCAAGACGAUGAUACGUAGCCGACCUGAGAGGGUGAUCGGCCACAUUGGGACUGAGACACGGCCCAAACUCCUACGGGAGGCAGCAGUAGGGAAUCUUCCGCAAUGGACGAAAGUCUGACGGAGCAACGCCGCGUGAGUGAAGAAAGGUUUUCGGAUCGUAAAACUCUGUUGUCAGAGAAGAACAAGUUGGAGAGUAACUGCUCCAGCCUUGACGGUAUCUGACCAGAAAGCCACGGCUAACUACGUGCCAGCAGCCGC